CGGGAUCCAUCGGUAGCUUGCUACCGAUGGUGAGAGUGGCGCACGGGUGCGUAACGCGUGAGCAACCUGCCCAUAUCAGGGGGAUAGCCCGGAGAAAUCCGGAUUAACACCGCAUGACACUGCUUUCCGGCAUCGGGAGGCGGUCAAAUAUUCAUAGGAUAUGGAUGGGCUCGCGUGACAUUAGCUAGUUGGUGGGGUAACGGCCCACCAAGGCGACGAUGUCUAGGGGCUCUGGGAGGAGAAUCCCCCACACUGGUACUGAGACACGGACCAGACUCCUACGGGAGGCAGCAGUAAGGAAUAUUGGUCAAUGGGGGCAACCCUGAACCAGCCAUGCCGCGUGCAGGACGACUGCCCUAUGGGUUGUAAACUGCUUUUGUUAGGGAAUAAACCCCGCUACGUGUAGCGGGCUGAAUGUACCUAAAGAAUAAGGAUCGGCUAACUCCGUGCCAGCAGCCGCGGUAAUACGGAGGAUCCGAGCGUUAUCCGGAUUUAUUGGGUUUAAAGGGUGCGUAGGCGGCACUUUAAGUCAGGGGUGAAAGACGGCAGCUCAACUGUCGCAGUGCCCUUGAUACUGAAGUGCUUGAAUGCGGUUGAAGACGGCGGAAUGAGACAAGUAGCGGUGAAAUGCAUAGAUAUGUCUCAGAACACCGAUUGCGAAGGCAGCUGUCUAAGCCGUUAUUGACGCUGAUGCACGAAAGCGUGGGGAUCGAACAGGAUUAGAUACCCUGGUAGUCCACGCCCUAAACGAUGAUGACUCGAUGUUUGCGAUAUACCGUAAGCGUCCAAGCGAAAGCGUUAAGUCAUCCACCUGGGGAGUACGCCCGCAAGGGUGAAACUCAAAGGAAUUGACGGGGGCCCGCACAAGCGGAGGAGCAUGUGGUUAAUUCAAUGAUACGCGAGGAACCUUA
RNAcentral lists this ribosomal RNA (911 nucleotides) under uncultured bacterium. RNAcentral describes it as "bacterial SSU rRNA". It matches the Rfam family "Bacterial small subunit ribosomal RNA", at positions 63 to 973 of the family's 1533-position model. The record is from RNAcentral.